AAUACGUUCCCGGGCCUUGUACACACCGCCCGUCACGUCACGAAAGUCGGUAACACCCGAAGCCGGUGGCCUAACCCUUCUGGAGGGAGCCGUCGAAGGUGGGAUCGGCGGUUGGGACGAAGUCGUAACAAGGUACCC
RNAcentral lists this ribosomal RNA (138 nucleotides) under uncultured bacterium. RNAcentral's name for it is "partial 16S ribosomal RNA". It matches the Rfam family "Bacterial small subunit ribosomal RNA", at positions 1365 to 1501 of the family's 1533-position model. The record is from RNAcentral.